UAAGGUGGUUAUAGCACCGGGGAUCCACCUCUUCCCAUCCCGAACAGAGAAGUUAAGCCCGGUCACGCCAAUGGUACUGCGCAAGUGGGAGAGUAGGCAGCCGCCACUU
Molecule: ribosomal RNA, 109 nt
Filed under: Bacteroidaceae bacterium
Lineage: Bacteria; Pseudomonadati; Bacteroidota; Bacteroidia; Bacteroidales; Bacteroidaceae
Source: RNAcentral